RNAcentral lists this ribosomal RNA (443 nucleotides) under uncultured bacterium. RNAcentral's name for it is "partial 16S ribosomal RNA". It matches the Rfam family "Bacterial small subunit ribosomal RNA", at positions 338 to 795 of the family's 1533-position model. The record is from RNAcentral.
CCUACGGGAGGCAGCAGUAGGGAAUCUUUGGCAAUGGAGGCAACUCUGACCCAGCAAUGCCGCGUGCGGGAUGAAGGUAAUUUUAUUGUAAAGCGCUUUUCUUUGGAACGAAUAAGUGACGGUACCAAAGGAAUAAGCCCCGGUUAACUCAGUGCCAGCAGCCGCGGUAAUACGUAGGGGGGAAGCGUUGUUCGGAUUGACUGGGCGUAAAGGUUGGGUAGGUGGUUUGAUAAGUUAGAUGUGUAAUACCCAGGGUUUAACUCGGGUGCUGUAGCUUAAACUGUUAGGCUUGAGGACUGGAGAGGAUAGUGGAAUUUCUAGUGUAGCGGUGGAAUGCGUAGAUAUUAGGAGGAACAUCAGUGGCGAAGGCGAGUAUCUGGACAGCUACUGACACUGAGGCACGAAAGCGUGGGGAGCAAACAGGAUUAGAUACCCUAGUAGUC